GACGAACGCUGGCGGCGUGCCUAAUACAUGCAAGUAGAACGCUGAAGGAGGAGCUUGCUUCUCUGGAUGAGUUGCGAACGGGUGAGUAACGCGUAGGUAACCUGCCUGGUAGCGGGGGAUAACUAUUGGAAACGAUAGCUAAUACCGCAUAACAGUAGAUGUUGCAUGACAUUUGCUUAAAAGGUGCGAUUGCAUCACUACCAGAUGGACCUGCGUUGUAUUAGCUAGUUGGUGAGGUAACGGCUCACCAAGGCGACGAUACAUAGCCGACCUGAGAGGGUGAUCGGCCACACUGGGACUGAGACACGGCCCAGACUCCUACGGGAGGCAGCAGUAGGGAAUCUUCGGCAAUGGACGGAAGUCUGACCGAGCAACGCCGCGUGAGUGAAGAAGGUUUUCGGAUCGUAAAGCUCUGUUGUAAGAGAAGAACGAGUGUGAGAGUGGAAAGUUCACACUGUGACG
This 462-nucleotide ribosomal RNA is filed under the name Streptococcus mitis. RNAcentral describes it as "bacterial SSU rRNA". It matches the Rfam family "Bacterial small subunit ribosomal RNA", at positions 28 to 474 of the family's 1533-position model. The record is from RNAcentral. Lineage: Bacteria; Bacillati; Bacillota; Bacilli; Lactobacillales; Streptococcaceae.